AGCAGUAUGGUGUAAGACUGCACACGGGAUUUCACUGAGGACUACCACAAAAAUAAUCCUGAGGUCCUUGUUCGAAUCAAGGUACUGCUC
This is a non-coding RNA of Mycena metata, 90 nucleotides long. NCBI's taxonomy places the organism in Eukaryota, Fungi, Basidiomycota, Agaricomycetes, Agaricales, Mycenaceae. The record is from the annotation of a GenBank genome assembly.